Molecule: long non-coding RNA, 1191 nt
Organism: Peromyscus leucopus (white-footed mouse)
Lineage: Eukaryota; Metazoa; Chordata; Mammalia; Rodentia; Cricetidae
Exons: 2
Source: RefSeq, a predicted model, not a curated record
AAAGAAGCUGUUUUGGCCUAUGGCAAGAAAGUUUACAGCCAGGCGGGAAAUCCAAGAGAGACACAAAGGAAAGAGAGUGGAGUCGGGGGAGACGCAAUCCAGCCACCCAAGAAGGAAGAUGUGAAAGUACUGCUUUUGGACUGUAUAUAAUGGCUAUCUACAACAUCACACUGUGCAGUAGCACAUUUAAACUUGCCUAACUACAUUCACUUCAACUUCUGGCAACCACUAUUCUACUACUUCAACUUCAAAAAGACCAAGGCUUUGGAUAUUUGACUUCCUAUGCCUACCAUAUUACUUUAACAUAAUGAUCUCCUGUUCAUCCACGUUGUCAGCAGUGACGUGAGUGACUUCAUUCUUCUUGUGGCUAAACGGUAUUCUGCUGCAGGUUCAUCCAUGCAUCCGCUGGUGGACAUUCAGGCUGUUUCUAUUUCUUGGCUAUAAUGAACAAGGAUGUGUUUCCUUGUCAUAUUGAUUUCAUUUCUCUUUUGAUAUGCACAUGUGUGCAGUUGCAUAUACACUUGUGUACAGAGGCCAGAUUUUGACAGAGGAUGUCUUCCUCAGUAACCCUUUGCCUUAUUUUUUGAGACAGGGUCUCUCACUGAACUUGGAGAGCACUGAUUUGCCUAGACUGGCUGAUAAGCAGAAAACAGGGAUUCUCCCAUCUCUGCAUCCUUGGUGCUGGGAUUACAGGAGAACAUCACUGCAUACAGAUUCUUUACAUGUGAUCUGUGGGGAAUCGAAUGCUGCUCCUCAUGCUUCUACAGCGAAGUUAACAAACUCAGCUCUCUCUCCAGCCCUGAUUUCAUCUCUUAGGCUAUAAUAUCCACAAGUAGACACUGCAUUCUCGAUUUCUAUUUCAUAUUAUAUGAUAUUGACAAAUAGCAUUGCUGCUGAUUUUUUCUCUUGCAGCUGAUGAUUUCAUUAGUGUUGGUAGUUUGAUUCCGGGGCUUGGGUGGUUUCCUGUAUGAAAUCAUGUCAAUGUCAAGCAGUGGUAAUUUAGUUUCUUUCUGUUCUGAUUUUGUCAACUUUUAUUUUUUUCCCUCGUCUGAUUUUGCUGACCAGGACUUCCAGUAUAAGGUUGAAUAAAAGAGGACAUUGUUGUCUUGUUCCCGGUCCUAAGAGGGAGUUCUUAUCUAUGUACUGUUUAGUAUACUGCUGCUGCCUUCCUAUAAAUGGUCAUUAUUUUUA